GGGCCGGUGGCGGAACCGGUAUACGCACGACACUUAAAAUGUCGACCGAGCAAUCGGAUGCGGGUUCGAAUCCCGCCCGGCCCACCA
RNAcentral lists this transfer RNA (87 nucleotides) under Candidatus Parcubacteria bacterium. RNAcentral describes it as "tRNA-Leu". It matches the Rfam family "tRNA". From Rfam's summary of the family: Transfer RNA (tRNA) molecules are approximately 80 nucleotides in length. Their secondary structure includes four short double-helical elements and three loops (D, anti-codon, and T loops). The record is from RNAcentral. Lineage: Bacteria; Candidatus Parcubacteria.